CCUGGCUCAGAUUGAACGCUGGCGGCAUGCCUUACACAUGCAAGUCGAACGGCAGCACGGGAGCUUGCUCCUGGUGGCGAGUGGCGAACGGGUGAGUAAUACAUCGGAACGUACCCAGGAGUGGGGGAUAACGUAGCGAAAGUUACGCUAAUACCGCAUAUUCUGUGAGCAGGAAAGUGGGGGAUCGCAAGACCUCGCGCUCUUGGAGCGGCCGAUGUCGGAUUAGCUAGUUGGUGAGGUAAAAGCUCACCAAGGCGACGAUCCGUAGCAGGUCUGAGAGGAUGAUCUGCCACACUGGGACUGAGACACGGCCCAGACUCCUACGGGAGGCAGCAGUGGGGAAUUUUGGACAAUAGGGGCAACCCUGAUCCAGCCAUGCCGCGUGAGUGAAGAAGGCCUUCGGGUUGUAAAGCUCUUUCGGCGGGGAAGAAAUGGCAACGGCUAAUAUCCGUUGUUGAUGACGGUACCCGCAUAAGAAGCACCGGCUAACUACGUG
This 496-nucleotide ribosomal RNA is filed under the name uncultured Azospira sp. Its description in RNAcentral is "bacterial SSU rRNA". It matches the Rfam family "Bacterial small subunit ribosomal RNA", at positions 18 to 507 of the family's 1533-position model. The record is from RNAcentral. Lineage: Bacteria; Pseudomonadati; Pseudomonadota; Betaproteobacteria; Rhodocyclales; Rhodocyclaceae.